UCCGUACGUGAACCUGCGGAAGGAUCAUUCGCACAAAGAUAUGUUCUAUUCCACCCGCCACGCACCAUACAGUGCUUUCUGUUUUAUCAUCAGGAAAUUUAAUUUCCAACUCGUCGAUGUUGCGAUCUCAAUGCAAUGUAUGCGAUGUUAUCUAUCUCUUGCGACGACGAAUGCCUUGGCUCGAGGAUCGUUGAAGGACGCAGCGAACUGUGCUAAACAUCUCGAAUUGCAGAUUUCCGAGAAAGAAAAGGAUUCUGAACGCAUUCUGCGAGUUGAACUUGUUUCAGCUCACGUGAUUGACGGUGACCGAAAUAUGCAGUCGCUCGAACUCCGAAGUUCAAGUGGUGUUCACAUGUUGUCGCAAGUUUUUGCGCCGACGUGUUCGUGGAAUUCAGCGCGUCUCUCGUUUUCGAGUUGCAUUAUGAAUUUAUUUCAUUGUGUUCGAUUUCAUUGAUGUGUCUCAGUUUUUCAUUUUUUGAAAACAUUUUUUCCGCACGCUCACGAUCAGUCACGGGAUUACCCGCUGAAUUUAAGCAUAUCAAUA
RNAcentral lists this ribosomal RNA (544 nucleotides) under uncultured eukaryote. RNAcentral describes it as "eukaryotic LSU rRNA". The stretch from base 156 to 308 matches the Rfam family "5.8S ribosomal RNA". The record is from RNAcentral.